Molecule: ribosomal RNA, 253 nt
Filed under: uncultured bacterium
Lineage: Bacteria
Description: partial 16S ribosomal RNA
Rfam family: Bacterial small subunit ribosomal RNA
Source: RNAcentral
UACGUAGGGUGCAAGCGUUGUCCGGAAUUAUUGGGCGUAAAGAGCUCGUAGGCGGUUCGUCGCGUCGGCUGUGAAAACCCGGAGCUCAACUCCGGGCCUGCAGUCGAUACGGGCGGACUUGAGUGUUGCAGGGGAGACUGGAAUUCCUGGUGUAGCGGUGAAAUGCGCAGAUAUCAGGAGGAACACCGAUGGCGAAGGCAGGUCACUGGGCCGCAACUGACGCUGAGGAGCGAAAGCAUGGGGAGCGAACAGG